UGCUAUGAUGCUGUAAUUUGCGUCUUAUCCAAGCGUUCGGCGGCAGUUGCCUGCUGCCAGAAAGCUGGCGCUCUUUGGAUGACGAUUACUCGUGACUGAGCA
Molecule: small nucleolar RNA, 102 nt
Organism: Ornithorhynchus anatinus (platypus)
Lineage: Eukaryota; Metazoa; Chordata; Mammalia; Monotremata; Ornithorhynchidae
Product: small nucleolar RNA SNORD16
Exons: 1
Source: RefSeq, a predicted model, not a curated record